Molecule: ribosomal RNA, 504 nt
Filed under: Chicoreus asianus
Lineage: Eukaryota; Metazoa; Mollusca; Gastropoda; Neogastropoda; Muricidae
Description: partial 16S ribosomal RNA
Rfam family: Bacterial large subunit ribosomal RNA
Source: RNAcentral
UACUAUUAAAUAGGGAGUCGGACCUGCCCGGUGAAAUUUUUUAACGGCCGCGGUACUCUGACCGUGCAAAGGUAGCAUAAUCAUUUGCCUUAUAACUGAAGGCUAGUAUGAAUGGUUUGACAAGAGCGUAACUGUCUCUUUACAAUUAAUUAGAAUUUUAUUUUUAGGUGAAGAAGCCUAUAUAUAAUUGAAAGACAAGAAGACCCUAUCGAGCUUAAAAAGAGUUGGUAAGCCUAAUUUUUAAUAAAACAUUAAUUUCCGUUUAUCAUAAAUUUUAGUUGGGGCGACUGAGGAACAAACAAAGCUUCCUUUAAACACAUAAAAUAAGCUGACAAGUUUUGAUCCAAAAAUUUUGAUUAAAGAAAUUAGUUACCGUAGGGAUAACAGCAUUAUUUUCUUUGAGAGUUCUUAUCGAAAAGAGAGUUUGUGACCUCGAUGUUGGACCAGAAUAUCCUAAAGAUGCAGCCGUCUUUAAGGGUUGGUCUGUUCGACCAUUAAAAUUCU